RNAcentral lists this ribosomal RNA (449 nucleotides) under uncultured bacterium. RNAcentral's name for it is "bacterial SSU rRNA". It matches the Rfam family "Bacterial small subunit ribosomal RNA", at positions 354 to 796 of the family's 1533-position model. The record is from RNAcentral.
GUAGGGAAUUUUCGUCAAUGGGGGAAACCCUGAACGAGCAAUGCCGCGUGAGUGAAGAAGGUCUUCGGAUCGUAAAGCUCUGUUGUAAGUGAAGAACGGCUCAUAGAGGAAAUGCUAUGGGAGUGACGGUAGCUUACCAGAAAGCCACGGCUAACUACGUGCCAGCAGCCGCGGUAAUACGUAGGUGGCAAGCGUUAUCCGGAAUCAUUGGGCGUAAAGGGUGCGUAGGUGGCGUACUAAGUCUGUAGUAAAAGGCAAUGGCUCAACCAUUGUAAGCUAUGGAAACUGGUAUGCUGGAGUGCAGAAGAGGGCGAUGGAAUUCCAUGUGUAGCGGUAAAAUGCGUAGAUAUAUGGAAGAACACCAGUGGCGAAGGCGGUCGCCUGGUCUGUAACUGACACUGAGGCACGAAAGCGUGGGGAGCAAAUAGGAUUAGAAACCCUAGUAGUCC